RNAcentral lists this ribosomal RNA (253 nucleotides) under uncultured bacterium. RNAcentral's name for it is "partial 16S ribosomal RNA". It matches the Rfam family "Bacterial small subunit ribosomal RNA", at positions 524 to 776 of the family's 1533-position model. The record is from RNAcentral.
UACGGAGGAGGCAAGCGUUAUCCGGAAUUAUUGGGCGUAAAGCGUCCGCAGGUGGCUUAUCAAGUCUGCUGUGAAAGAGCGGGGCUUAACCCCAUUAAGGCAGUGGAAACUGAGAAGCUAGAGUGCCGUAGGGGUAGAGGGAAUUCCCGGUGUAGCGGUGAAAUGCGUAGAUAUUGGGAGGAACACCAGUGGCGAAGGCGGCUCGCUGGACCGGUUCUGACGCUGAGGCGCGAAAGCGUGGGGAGCAAACGGG